RNAcentral lists this ribosomal RNA (151 nucleotides) under Purpureocillium lilacinum. RNAcentral's name for it is "5.8 S ribosomal RNA". It matches the Rfam family "5.8S ribosomal RNA". From Rfam's summary of the family: 5.8S ribosomal RNA (5.8S rRNA) is a component of the large subunit of the eukaryotic ribosome. It is transcribed by RNA polymerase I as part of the 45S precursor that also contains 18S and 28S rRNA. The record is from RNAcentral. Lineage: Eukaryota; Fungi; Ascomycota; Sordariomycetes; Hypocreales; Ophiocordycipitaceae. RNAcentral also lists the same sequence under 1 other name.
AAACUUUCAACAACGGAUCUCUUGGUUCUGGCAUCGAUGAAGAACGCAGCGAAAUGCGAUAAGUAAUGUGAAUUGCAGAAUUCAGUGAAUCAUCGAAUCUUUGAACGCACAUUGCGCCCGCCAGCAUUCUGGCGGGCAUGCCUGUUCGAGC